Molecule: transfer RNA, 72 nt
Filed under: bacterium
Lineage: Bacteria
Also listed under: 1 other name
Description: tRNA-Glu
Rfam family: tRNA
About the family: Transfer RNA (tRNA) molecules are approximately 80 nucleotides in length.
Source: RNAcentral
GGCCCGUUCGUCUAUCGGUUAGGACUCCAGGUUUUCAACCUGGCAAGAGGGGUUCAACUCCCCUACGGGUCA